UACGGAGGGUGCAAGCGUUGUUCGGAAUUAUUGGGCGUAAAGCGCACGUAGGCGGGUUCGCAAGCCGAUUGUGAAAUCCCCGGGCUCAAUCCGGGAAUUGCAGUUGGUACUACGAAUCUUGAAUGCUUGAGAGGGUGACGGAAUUCCUGGUGUAGAAGUGAAAUUCGUAGAUAUCAGGAGGAACACCGGAGGCGAAGGCGGUUGCCUGGCAAUGCAUUGACGCUGAGGUGCGAAAGCGUGGGGAGCAAACAGG
This 253-nucleotide unclassified non-coding RNA is filed under the name uncultured Oligoflexaceae bacterium. Its description in RNAcentral is "contains 16S-23S intergenic spacer region". It matches the Rfam family "Bacterial small subunit ribosomal RNA", at positions 524 to 776 of the family's 1533-position model. Lineage: Bacteria; Pseudomonadati; Bdellovibrionota; Oligoflexia; Oligoflexales; Oligoflexaceae. The record is from RNAcentral.